AGUGAACGCUGGCGGUAGGCCUAACACAUGCAAGUCGAACGGCAGCACAGUAAGAGCUUGCUCUUACGGGUGGCGAGUGGCGGACGGGUGAGGAAUACAUCGGAAUCUACUUUUUCGUGGGGGAUAACGUAGGGAAACUUACGCUAAUACCGCAUACGACCUACGGGUGAAAGCAGGGGAUCUUCGGACCUUGCGCGAUUGAAUGAGCCGAUGUCGGAUUAGCUAGUUGGCGGGGUAAAGGCCCACCAAGGCGACGAUCCGUAGCUGGUCUGAGAGGAUGAUCAGCCACACUGGAACUGAGACACGGUCCAGACUCCUACGUGAGGCAGCAGUGGGGAAUAUUGGACAAUGGGCGCAAGCCUGAUCCAGCCAUACCGCGUGGGUGAAGAAGGCCUUCGGGUUGUAAAACCCUUUUGUUGGGAAAGAAAAGCAGCAGGUUAAUACCCCGCUGUUCUGACGGUACCCAAAGAAUAAGCACCGGCUAACUUCGUG
This 492-nucleotide ribosomal RNA is filed under the name uncultured bacterium. RNAcentral describes it as "partial 16S ribosomal RNA". It matches the Rfam family "Bacterial small subunit ribosomal RNA", at positions 29 to 507 of the family's 1533-position model. The record is from RNAcentral.